RNAcentral lists this ribosomal RNA (398 nucleotides) under uncultured bacterium. Its description in RNAcentral is "partial 16S ribosomal RNA". It matches the Rfam family "Bacterial small subunit ribosomal RNA", at positions 523 to 918 of the family's 1533-position model. The record is from RNAcentral.
AUACGUAGGGUACGAGCGUUGUCCGGAAUUACUGGGCGUAAAGAGCUCGUAGGUGGUUUGUCGCGUCGUCUGUGAAAUUCCGGGGCUUAACUCCGGGCGUGCAGGCGAUACGGGCAUAACUUGAGUACUGUAGGGGAGACUGGAAUUCCUGGUGUAGCGGUGAAAUGCGCAGAUAUCAGGAGGAACCCCGGGGGCGAAGGGGGGUCUCUGGGAAGUAACUGACGCUGAGGAGCGAAAGCAUGGGUAGCGAACAGGAUUAGAUACCCUGGUAGUCCAUGCCGUAAACGGUGGGCGCUAGGUGUAGGGGUCUUCCACGACUUCUGUGCCGUAGCUAACGCAUUAAGCGCCCCGCCUAGGGAGUACGGCCGCAAGGCUAAAACUCAAAGGAAUUGACGGGG